CCCCUCUCAGGGUGGUACUUGGAGAGUUUUCAGUACACUACCAGUUUCUACUAAAGGAGGGAAAGUCAAGCAGAGGCCUACCCAUUCCAUUCCUAGCUCGGGCAGUGGCUAGCGAGUGGAAGGCAAUCUGCUGCAAAC
Molecule: small nucleolar RNA, 138 nt
Organism: Tachyglossus aculeatus (Australian echidna)
Lineage: Eukaryota; Metazoa; Chordata; Mammalia; Monotremata; Tachyglossidae
Source: RefSeq, a predicted model, not a curated record